ACCCAACAGAAUGCACAUCCCUCUGACAAUGUUGUGGGCCUACUCUGUUCUAUUCCUGGGAUGGUUCUUCUCAGGUUCGGAGUCCCAGCUGACGUUAACUCAACCAGCCUCCAUGUCUGCAUCUCCGGGAUUAACGUUUAACAUCCCUUGCCAAAUGAACAGUGGCUACACCAUUAACAGCGAGAGAGCCAGGUGGUACCAACAGAAACCAGGUGGCAUCCCACGGUUUCUGUACCACUAUUAUACCAGCACUGAUCAAGGCAGGGGAGAAGGAGUCCCAGAGAGAUUCAGCGUUUCCCCCGAUGCCUCCCAGAACCUCUGGAAUCUCGUGAUCAAUGGAGUUCAAGUGGAAGACGAUGCUGUUUAUUAUUGUAGCACAUGGGACUACAAACUUACUGGGCGCACAGUGAUUGAUCUUUAUGGGGAACUGAGACAAAAACCUUUCGCUCGUCACACCCCAUCUGGCAUCUGCAGGUGA
Non-coding RNA from Pantherophis guttatus, 478 nucleotides. Lineage: Eukaryota; Metazoa; Chordata; Lepidosauria; Squamata; Colubridae. The record is from the annotation of a RefSeq genome assembly.